Cheilinus undulatus (humphead wrasse) is the source of this 2700-nucleotide long non-coding RNA. RefSeq lists it as uncharacterized. The record is from RefSeq and is a predicted model, not a curated record. Lineage: Eukaryota; Metazoa; Chordata; Actinopteri; Labriformes; Labridae. The transcript is spliced from 4 exons.
GAGAGCAGGUCUGAGGAGGGAGAGGGUGACGGUGAGGUUAGCCGGAGGGCCAGACGGCGCGAGAUGAAAGUGGGAACUCUCUCCCACAGCUGUCAGCAGUUUUUAAUGCAAACUUUGCUAUUGAUUGGCAGAGCCGGCCAGGUUUCCACCACCAAACUUUUCUAGUUUGGCAGCUUUUGUUGUGCUUUCUCCAGUGUUGGAUGGAUUGUGUGGUUAAAGGAGUCCAGUGUCAGGUGGAGACUUCAGGGGCCAGAGGCACAGUUUGGAUUGGGAGUACUGACAUGCAACUCUGAGUCCAUAUUUCAUCACCUCGUGAACAAGGGCUUUGACCACAGAGAGGCCCUUGACAUUCUGAUCCUUGAACACAUGUCUCGGGCUUUCCAGCACAUCAGGAUGACACCUCAUGAAAGGGGAACCCCACCUUUGGCUUCUCCUGGAGAACAACACGUGUCAGCGGCCCCCCGUGCGCCCUGUCAGGGGGUGAAGAGGUUAGGCGCUCUGUGCGGCCGCACACAUCCCGGCCUUCUUGAAGACCACCAUAAUGACUGCUAAUUACGCUGCCAUCUGUGGGGUGGGCUGUGUUAUGUAGACACCUGUUCAUUAAGUCGGAGAGGGAAAGUUUUCUCUAAGAAGCACUUGAAAAAGACUCAGAAACUCUCCCGCUUUCAUGAUACAGAAUCUUAAAGUGAUUAUUUUAAGGGAAGAAACCACCCAGGUCCGCAUUAACCCACAUACUUGUAUCAAUAAAACUCCUGAGCAUGCAAUAAUUGAACACCUCUGCGCCGCUAAUGAUUGAAUGAACUCUGUGUGAUACCUCUCCAGCUUCAGGAAGCAUCACCAAGGUUAACCAGGCCAUCGGGCAGCAUUAGUGGGAGGGUGUUUGGAGGGGAAGCCAAUAAAAAGCUCUCAGAUAUCUGCUGAAGGGGAGCACAGCCUGUCAAUUCUGUGGCCCUAAGAGCUGAUCUGCCAUUACCGACUCACAAAAGACUAAUGAGAGCCAUUCUGGUGCCAGCACCUUGAAUAAUAUGUCGAUACUCAUUCAGCCUACAUUGAAUGCUACCUUUUUUAUUUUAACUUGAUGUGAGAUGGAUCCUCCCUUAUUUCUUUAGAAUAUAAAGCAGUUGGCAGACUAUGUGAGUAACUAAUGACAUAAUGAUAAUAACUCAAACAGGCACUGCUUUAGAGGCUCAAGGCCGGACAUGUUAAAGCCGUCUCCCCUGGACACAUCCAUCUGAUCCCUAUCUCUUACUUAAAGAUUUACACAAACAGAUGAUUGCAAAGCAUCACAUAUUUCAACAUUUUAUCUGUAAAGCUUAUGACUCCAUUUAGCUUCAGAUCCUCCUAGAGCGAGCCGGCACAGCAAUCAUAAACCCAGAGGCCAAUUAGGAUGGUGACGGAUUGAUUUUGGAAGAUAAAUUUGGGAUGUAAAAGGUUGACAUAGCUGCUGUGUCUCUUUCACUGCAUGUGCGGCUCCCAAUUAAGUGAGAAGAGGCAUUUUUUUCCCUUCUCUCUCUCUCUAGGAUCAGAGUGUCUCCCUGACAGAUGAGCCACUAAUGAGAGCAAAUCUCACUAAAUCCUCAAGAAACAUGAUGAAUUGAAUCAUGUUCACCCCGUUCAUUUGUUGUGUUCACAGAUGAGACAAAACGCAACAUUUAUCUAGUCAACAAAUAGCAAAUGAGUAGGUGUAUACAUCGUUUCAUUCAGUGUCUUGGCUUCUUAGUAUGAUAUUAAGCUCGGAGACUCUGGCUGAGAUUUGUACUAUUCCUUACACUGUUUUUCUUUUAAUCCACCUUAUCUGUGCAGAAACAUCAUAUGGAGGUUGAAUGCAGACAUAUGUUAAGUCCUGAGGCCUCAAUCUGCCUCCCUCCCUAAUAUUUACAAGACAAAUUACGGCGGCUAUCUCUCUCAUUAUCUCACUCCAAACCCUCACCAUAUGUAUCCCUAUUAUUAGACAACGAGCAGAAGAUGGCCUAUUUUCAAAUUUAAAUUACCAAGUCUAACCUUAAUUGGUUAGAAACGUUGUUUAGUGGAUGGUAUCAAAGUCGGGCUUAUGAGAGAAUCCGACAGAUGGCUUAGUCUUAUGACUUGUAUUAACACCUUCGAAGUUUAAUGAACUGUUAAUUGCUUUUCUAAUACAUAAUGGGACCAUUGGAAUACAAGCGGUAAUGCAAACAGAUUAGUAUGUAGACGACGGGUAAACACCCGUCCUGUUCAAUGUCACCUUUAAGUACCUUGAAAAACAAAAACAAGCUGAAGGACACAGACAAAAAUACCAGUCUUACAGCUGAUGGAGGUAUUUUAAGGUGCAUGAAUCAUUUUUCACUACAAAAUUGACCUAUUUUAAUACAAACUUAAGAAGAGAAUAUGACUUUUUGAUAUGAAUGUGAAUAAAUAUGGGGCUUUUUUAAACUUGAAGUACUUUUUUAAAAGAAGUAUUUGCUAGUUUCUAAAAGCAUGUAUUUUUGACCCACUUUAGGUACACUGUCACUGUAUUCUAAAAAGAACUAAAGUGAUAAUAUGUGCCAAAGUAUUUGCCUGUUUGAUUUUAGGUAAGUUGCAAAGGUCAGGUUGUGUGACCAGUGUUUCAGGUGGUGAAACUACAGGUAUCAUUUAGGGCUGAGCAAUAAAGUUUUUCGCAAAUCAAGAUUUUGACAAUUGAAAAUCAAGACUUUCUGUUAAACUUUACUGCUGUUAUACCAA